GAUGAACGCUGGCGGCGUGCCUAAUACAUGCAAGUCGAGCGAACAGACGAGGAGCUUGCUCCUCUGACGUUAGCGGCGGACGGGUGAGUAACACGUGGAUAACCUACCUAUAAGACUGGGAUAACUUCGGGAAACCGGAGCUAAUACCGGAUAAUAUAUUGAACCGCAUGGUUCAAUAGUGAAAGACGGUUUUGCUGUCACUUAUAGAUGGUUCCGCGCCGCAUUAGCGAGUUGGUAAGGUAACGGCUUGCCAAGGCAACGAUGCGUAGCCGACCUGAGAGGGUGAUCGGCCACACUGGAACUGAGACACGGUCCAGACUCCUACGGGAGGCAGCAGUAGGGAAUCUUCCGCAAUGGGCGAAAGCCUGACGGAGCAACGCCGCGUGAGUGAUGAAGGUCUUCGGAUCGUAAAACGCUGUUAUUAGGGAAGAACAAAUGUGUAAGUAACUAUGCACGUCUUGACGGUACCUAAUCAGAAAGCCACGGCUAACUACGU
Molecule: ribosomal RNA, 496 nt
Filed under: uncultured bacterium
Lineage: Bacteria
Description: partial 16S ribosomal RNA
Rfam family: Bacterial small subunit ribosomal RNA
Source: RNAcentral